UGCGGGAUGGAGCAGUCUGGUAGCUCGUCGGGCUCAUAACCCGAAGGUCGUUGGUUCAAAUCCAGCUCCCGCUUCCA
RNAcentral lists this transfer RNA (77 nucleotides) under Acinetobacter tjernbergiae DSM 14971 = CIP 107465. Its description in RNAcentral is "tRNA-Met". It matches the Rfam family "tRNA". From Rfam's summary of the family: Transfer RNA (tRNA) molecules are approximately 80 nucleotides in length. RNAcentral also lists the same sequence under 2 other names. The record is from RNAcentral. Lineage: Bacteria; Pseudomonadati; Pseudomonadota; Gammaproteobacteria; Moraxellales; Moraxellaceae.